Molecule: ribosomal RNA, 374 nt
Filed under: uncultured organism
Description: partial 16S ribosomal RNA
Rfam family: Bacterial small subunit ribosomal RNA
Source: RNAcentral
GUAGGUGGCAAGCGUUGUCCGGAAUUAUUGGGCGUAAAGCGCGCGCAGGCGGUUCUUUAAGUCUGAUGUGAAAGCCCACGGCUCAACCGUGGAGGGUCAUUGGAAACUGGAGAACUUGAGUACAGAAGAGGAAAGCGGAAUUCCACGCGUAGCGGUGAAAUGCGUAGAGAUGUGGAGGAACACCAGUGGCGAAGGCGGCUUUCUGGUCUGUAACUGACGCUGAGGCGCGAAAGCGUGGGGAGCAAACAGGAUUAGAUACCCUGGUAGUCCACGCCGUAAACGAUGAGUGCUAAGUGUUAGGGGGUUUUCCGCCCCCCUUAGUGCUGCAGCUAACGCAUUAAGCACUCCGCCCUGGGAGUACGGCCGCAAGGCUG